This 443-nucleotide ribosomal RNA is filed under the name uncultured bacterium. Its description in RNAcentral is "partial 16S ribosomal RNA". It matches the Rfam family "Bacterial small subunit ribosomal RNA", at positions 338 to 795 of the family's 1533-position model. The record is from RNAcentral.
CCUACGGGAGGCAGCAGUGGGGAAUAUUGGACAAUGGGGGGAACCCUGAUCCAGCGACGCCGCGUGAGUGAAGAAGUAUUUCGGUAUGUAAAGCUCUAUCAGCAGGGAAGAAAGAAAUGACGGUACCUGACUAAGAAGCCCCGGCUAACUACGUGCCAGCAGCCGCGGUAAUACGUAGGGGGCAAGCGUUAUCCGGAUUUACUGGGUGUAAAGGGAGCGUAGACGGCGAUGCAAGUCUGAAGUGAAAGGCGGGGGCUCAACCCCUGGACUGCUUUGGAAACUGGAUGGCUGGAGUGCAGGAGAGGGAAGUGGAAUUCCUGGGGUAGCGGUGAAAUGCGUAGAUAUUAGGAGGAACACCAGUGGCGAAGGCGGCUUACUGGACUGUAACUGACGUUGAGGCUCGAAAGCGUGGGGAGCAAACAGGAUUAGAUACCCCAGUAGUC